GAUGAACGCUGGCGGCGUGCCUAAUACAUGCAAGUCGAGCGAACAGACGAGGAGCUUGCUCCUCUGACGUUAGCGGCGGACGGGUGAGUAACACGUGGAUAACCGACCUAUAAGACUGGGAUAACUUCGGGAAACCGGAGCUAAUACCGGAUAAUAUAUUGAACCGCAUGGUUCAAUAGUGAAAGACGGUUUUGCUGUCACUUAUAGAUGGAUCCGCGCCGCAUUAGCUAGUUGGUAAGGUAACGGCUUACCAAGGCAACGAUGCGUAGCCGACCUGAGAGGGUGAUCAGCCACACUGGAACUGAGACACGGUCCAGACUCCUACGGGAGGCAGCAGUAGGGAAUCUUCCGCAAUGGGCGAAAGCCUGACGGAGCAACGCCGCGUGAGUGAUGAAGGUCUUCGGAUCGUAAAACUCUGUUAUUAGGGAAGAACAAAUGUGUAAGUAACUAUGCACGUCUUGACGGUACCUAAUCAGAAAGCCACGGCUAACUACGUG
This 497-nucleotide ribosomal RNA is filed under the name uncultured bacterium. RNAcentral describes it as "partial 16S ribosomal RNA". It matches the Rfam family "Bacterial small subunit ribosomal RNA", at positions 28 to 507 of the family's 1533-position model. The record is from RNAcentral.